UUAACUUAUUAUGUUUUUACUCAGACGACACUAAUAUUCAGAGUUUUGAUUUCCUCUGGUAGGCACUUACCAGCCGAAGCCGGUAGUCGAGCCGAAGCCUGACGGCCUACCAAAGCAACAAAGGUAUAAAAUACACAGGGUGGGAGAUCUACCCCGAAGGGCAUGAACUCUGUAAUGAUCCUUCCGCAGGUUCACCUACGGAAA
RNAcentral lists this unclassified non-coding RNA (204 nucleotides) under uncultured fungus. RNAcentral describes it as "sequence contains ITS1". Lineage: Eukaryota; Fungi. The record is from RNAcentral.